AGGAAACAGCAUAAGUGGAUGCUUCUGUGAGAGUGCAGGUUGCUAUGAGACCUAAGAAGCCCGCAUGCUUUGCUGUGGACUGAAUGUUUGCAUACCCUCCUGAAUUCAUAUGCUGAAGCCUAAAUCCCCAAUUUGAUGGUAUACGAAGGUGGGGCCUUUGGGAGGUAAUUAGGUCAUGAAAGUGGAGCCCUCAUGAAUAGGAAGAAUGCCCUUAUAAAAGAAAUUCCAACAAGCUGCCUUGCCCCUUUUCUGCCAUUUGAGAAAACAGUGAGAAAUUGCUGCCUGUGAACCAGGAAGCGGGUGCUCACCGGACACUGAAGCCACUGGCACCUUGAUC
This 337-nucleotide long non-coding RNA is filed under the name Homo sapiens (human). Its description in RNAcentral is "HSALNT0242978". The record is from RNAcentral. Lineage: Eukaryota; Metazoa; Chordata; Mammalia; Primates; Hominidae.